GCAGUGCCUCUGAACAAAGAAGUUACGAAAAAAGUAGGAGAAAGACUCUAGGAUCAAGAGCUUAACUGCUCUUUAAAUUCUCAAGGUUGGGCAAGUUUCUCAUCUACAAAAUGUGGGCAUUGGACCAGGUGAUUUCCGAAGUUCUUUGUAUCUCCUCCUAAUUUUCACUGACUCCCAUCCCAGACCAGCUGUUUGAAACUAGUAAUGUGAUUGUCUAGAAAAUUCUUUUCAUUUAAAGAAGAAUUUUUGUAAUAUUUGCCAUAUAUAGAAGAGACAUAGAUAACAUAAAAUGAUGAGGCAGAGUGAUUUUUAAAAAGUAAACUGACCAUCCAA
Long non-coding RNA from Myotis lucifugus (little brown bat), 333 nucleotides. RefSeq lists it as uncharacterized. The record is from RefSeq and is a predicted model, not a curated record. The transcript has 3 exons. Lineage: Eukaryota; Metazoa; Chordata; Mammalia; Chiroptera; Vespertilionidae.